UACGUAGGGGGCAAGCGUUGUCCGGAAUCAUUGGGCGUAAAGAGCGUGUAGGCGGCUCGGUAAGUCCGCUGUGAAAGUCCAGGGCUCAACCCUGGAAUGCCGGUGGAAACUGUCGAGCUAGAGUCCGGAAGAGGCGAGUGGAAUUCCUGGUGUAGCGGUGAAAUGCGCAGAUAUCAGGAGGAACACCAAUGGCGAAGGCAGCUCGCUGGGACGGUACUGACGCUGAGACGCGAAAGCGUGGGGAGCGAACGGG
RNAcentral lists this ribosomal RNA (253 nucleotides) under uncultured bacterium. RNAcentral's name for it is "partial 16S ribosomal RNA". It matches the Rfam family "Bacterial small subunit ribosomal RNA", at positions 524 to 776 of the family's 1533-position model. The record is from RNAcentral.